Molecule: ribosomal RNA, 342 nt
Filed under: Acanthomenexenus polyacanthus
Lineage: Eukaryota; Metazoa; Arthropoda; Insecta; Phasmatodea; Lonchodidae
Description: partial small subunit ribosomal RNA
Source: RNAcentral
UAGAUUUAUCUUUAAACCUAAAGAAUUUGGCGGUGUUUUAGUCUAUUCAGAGGAAUUUGUCCUAUAAUCGAUAUUCCCCGUUUUAUCUUACUUUAUUUUGUUAUUCAGUUUGUAUACCGCCGUUAUAAGUUUAUUUAUUUAGAAUUAUUUACUUUAAAUUUUAUUUUAUAUUAUUUCAGGUCAAGGUGCAGUUUAUGAUAAAGGAUUGAUGAAUUACAAUAUAUUUUGUAUAUUAUGGAUAUAAUUUUUAUAAUUUUAUUGAAGGUGGAUUUGAUGGUAAUUUUAUAAAUUAUUUUAUUUUGAUUUUAGCUCUAAAAUGAGUACACAUCGCCCGUCGCUCUA